RNAcentral lists this ribosomal RNA (141 nucleotides) under Triticum aestivum (bread wheat). RNAcentral describes it as "partial small subunit ribosomal RNA". Lineage: Eukaryota; Viridiplantae; Streptophyta; Magnoliopsida; Poales; Poaceae. The record is from RNAcentral.
AUGAUAAUAAGUUUGUCCAAAUGUUUUAGGGAUCUUCAAGGCUCGCAUUUUUGCAUUGGUGGGCCAUAUGGUCUUGGGGAACAAGUCCGAGAGCGUGCAGAUGCAACAAUUAGGCUAUCCUCACUGGUUUUGAACCACUAA